AGAAUCAACGCUGGCGGCGUGCCUAACACAUGCAAGUCGAACGCGAAAGGGGAGCAAUCCCUGAUUAGAGUGGCAAACGGGUGAGUAACACGUGGGUGACCUGCCUUCGAGUGGGGGAUAACCUUCCGAAAGGAGGGCUAAUACCGCAUGACAUACCGUGUUUGGAUACACGGAUAUCAAAGCCGGGGAUCGCAAGACCUGGCGCUUGGAGAGGGGCCCGCGUCCGAUUAGCUAGUUGGUGAGGUAACGGCUCACCAAGGCUCCGAUCGGUA
RNAcentral lists this ribosomal RNA (272 nucleotides) under uncultured soil bacterium. Its description in RNAcentral is "partial 16S ribosomal RNA". It matches the Rfam family "Bacterial small subunit ribosomal RNA", at positions 26 to 285 of the family's 1533-position model. The record is from RNAcentral.